Molecule: ribosomal RNA, 462 nt
Filed under: uncultured bacterium
Lineage: Bacteria
Description: bacterial SSU rRNA
Rfam family: Bacterial small subunit ribosomal RNA
Source: RNAcentral
UUCGAUUCUGGCUCAGAACGAACGCUGGCGGCAGGCCUAACACAUGCAAGUCGAGCGAUCGCAGCAAUGCGGGAGCGGCAGACGGGUGAGGAACACGUGGGAACAUACCCUUUGGUUCGGAAUAACUCAGGGAAACUUGAGCUAAUACCGGAUAAGUCGGCAACGAGAAAGAUUCAUCGCCGAAGGAUUGGCCCGCGUCCGAUUAGCUAGUUGGUGAGGUAAUGGCUCACCAAGGCGACGAUCGGUAGCUGGUCUGAGAGGAUGAUCAGCCACAUUGGGACUGAGACACGGCCCAAACUCCUACGGGAGGCAGCAGUGGGGAAUAUUGGACAAUGGGCGCAAGCCUGAUCCAGCCAUGCCGCGUGAGUGAUGACGGCCCUAGGGUUGUAAAGCUCUUUCACCCACGACGAUAAUGACGGUAGUGGGGGAAGAAGCCCCGGCUAACUUCGUGCCAGCCGCCGC